Molecule: ribosomal RNA, 775 nt
Filed under: uncultured bacterium
Lineage: Bacteria
Description: bacterial SSU rRNA
Rfam family: Bacterial small subunit ribosomal RNA
Source: RNAcentral
GAGCUUGCUCCUCUGAUCAGUGGCGAACGGGUGAGUAACACGUGAGCAACCUGCCCCAGACUCUGGGAUAACAGUUGGAAACAGCUGCUAAUACCGGAUACGAGACGGAGAGGCAUCUCUACCGUCUGGAAAGUUUUUCGGUCUGGGAUGGACUCGCGGCCUAUCAGCUAGUUGGUGAGGUAAUGGCUCACCAAGGCGACGACGGGUAGCCGGCCUGAGAGGGCGACCGGCCACACUGGGACUGAGACACGGCCCAGACUCCUACGGGAGGCAGCAGUGGGGAAUAUUGCACAAUGGGCGAAAGCCUGAUGCAGCGACGCCGCGUGAGGGAUGACGGCCUUCGGGUUGUAAACCUCUUUCAGCAGGGAAGAAGCGAAAGUGACGGUACCUGCAGAAGAAGCACCGGCUAACUACGUGCCAGCAGCCGCGGUAAUACGUAGGGUGCGAGCGUUGUCCGGAAUUAUUGGGCGUAAAGAGCUUGUAGGCGGUUUGUCGCGUCUGCAGUGAAAAUCCGAGGCUCAACCUCGGACUUGCUGUGGGUACGGGCAGACUAGAGUAUGGUAGGGGAGACCGGAAUUCCUGGUGUAGCGGUGGAAUGCGCAGAUAUCAGGAGGAACACCGAUGGCGAAGGCAGGUCUCUGGGCCAUAACUGACGCUGAGAAGCGAAAGCAUGGGGAGCGAACAGGAUUAGAUACCCUGGUAGUCCAUGCCGUAAACGUUGGGCGCUAGGUGUGGGGCUCAUUCCACGAGCUCCGUGCCGCAGCUAACGCAUUAA